GAUGAACGCUGGCUACAGGCUUAACACAUGCAAGUCGAGGGGAAACGGCAUUGAGUGCUUGCACUGAAUGGACGUCGACCGGCGCACGGGUGAGUAACGCGUAUCCAACUUUCCCGUUACUGCGGGAUAACCUGCCGAAAGGCAGACUAAUACCGCAUGUUCUUCGAUGACGGCAUCAGAUUCGAAGCAAAGACUCGUCGGUAACGGAGGGGGAUGCGUCUGAUUAGCUUGUUGGCGGGGCAACGGCCCACCAAGGCGACGAUCAGUAGGGGUUCUGAGAGGAAGGUCCCCCACAUUGGAACUGAGACACGGUCCAAACUCCUACGGGAGGCAGUAGUGAGGAAUAUUGGUCAAUGGGCGGAAGCCUGAACCAGCCAAGUAGCGUGCAGGAGGACGGCCCUACGGGUUGUAAACUGCUUUCAUGCGGGGUUAAU
RNAcentral lists this ribosomal RNA (434 nucleotides) under uncultured Prevotella sp. Its description in RNAcentral is "bacterial SSU rRNA". It matches the Rfam family "Bacterial small subunit ribosomal RNA", at positions 28 to 450 of the family's 1533-position model. Lineage: Bacteria; Pseudomonadati; Bacteroidota; Bacteroidia; Bacteroidales; Prevotellaceae. The record is from RNAcentral.